RNAcentral lists this ribosomal RNA (466 nucleotides) under uncultured bacterium. RNAcentral's name for it is "partial 16S ribosomal RNA". It matches the Rfam family "Bacterial small subunit ribosomal RNA", at positions 28 to 507 of the family's 1533-position model. The record is from RNAcentral.
GACGAACGCUGGCGGCGUGCUUAACACAUGCAAGUCGAACGGAAAGGCCCAGCUUGCUGGGUACUCGAGUGGCGAACGGGUGAGUAACACGUGGGUUAUCUGCCCUCAACUUUGGGAUAAGCCUAGGAAACUGGGUCUAAUACCGGCUAUGAUCAACUGUCGCAUGGUGGUUGGUGGAAAGCUUUUGCGGUUGGGGAUGGGCCCGCGGCCUAUCAGCUUGUUGGUGGGGUAUUGGCCUACCAAGGCGACGACGGGUAGCCGACCUGAGAGGGUGAUCGGCCACACUGGGACUGAGACACGGCCCAGACUCCUACGGGAGGCAGCAGUGGGGAAUAUUGCACAAUGGGCGCAAGCCUGAUGCAGCGACGCCGCGUGAGGGAUGACGGCCUUCGGGUUGUAAACCUCUUUCACCAGGGACGAAGCGUGAGUGACGGUACCUGGAGAAGAAGCACCGGCCAACUACGUG